UGGGUGAUCUGCCCUGCACUUCGGGAUAAGCCUGGGAAACUGGGUCUAAUACCGAAUACACCUCAUGGACUGCAUGGUUUGUGGGGGAAAGCUUUUUGCGGUGUGGGAUGGGCCCGCGGCCUAUCAGCUUGUUGGUGGGGUGAUGGCCUACCAAGGCGACGACGGGUAGCCGGCCUGAGAGGGUGACCCGGCCACACGUGGGACUGAGACACGGCCCAGACCUCCGUACGGGAGCA
Molecule: ribosomal RNA, 236 nt
Filed under: uncultured bacterium
Lineage: Bacteria
Description: partial 16S ribosomal RNA
Rfam family: Bacterial small subunit ribosomal RNA
Source: RNAcentral